This 57-nucleotide transfer RNA is filed under the name Spathoderma clenchi. Its description in RNAcentral is "tRNA-Arg". Lineage: Eukaryota; Metazoa; Mollusca; Caudofoveata; Chaetodermatida; Prochaetodermatidae. The record is from RNAcentral.
AACGAAGUAAAUAUUACAUACAGUUUCGGCCUGUAAAUUGGCGUAAGCCCGUAGUUU